RNAcentral lists this long non-coding RNA (1786 nucleotides) under Pelobates cultripes (western spadefoot toad). The record is from RNAcentral. Lineage: Eukaryota; Metazoa; Chordata; Amphibia; Anura; Pelobatidae.
UACGGGGACACUCCACCGGCCAUCCUAGACGCUACACCAAGCACCCCUGGUACUCGUUGGCUAACGGAUGGAUUCAUCAAGAGGAUCAGUCUUCAUGACGGAGUCCGGAAAGGACACCUCAAACACCUGACACGGGGUUUGCACUCUAUCUGGGACUAACCAGUGGAUGUCGGUGACACGCAGACACAGAUGUUUCCUUGGGACUAACGGCACAUUACCGCUUGGAAAGCGGAGAAGACUAAAUUUCCACUGGGAAUGGACCGAUAUGACUUAUAGGUAUCGCCUAGUUGGUUUCUACCCCUGAGAACCGCAAAACGGCCCCUGUCCAAGCUGGACAUCAAACUGAUGGAUUUAGCAUCCAAGUGCUGGGUCUGCUCUCCGGAGUUACCCUCGUGUACAAAUUGAGCCGACAUGUCUCUAUUCAUAGGGUUCCCCCUUAACUAGCCCCAGAGGUCUCUCUGGCCGUGCCCGGACUCCAGAUCAAGGUUGCGGAACCUUGGACCGUUCCAUGAGCGAUACGCAUGACCAAAAGAGGCAUCCAUUCCGACUCAUUCCGCAGUUGCCCUGCUGGGCAAAGGGUGCGGCGGAGUGGACUCCCGCCCCAUCCCCACGCUACAUGCUCCCAGUGCAUGUCGUCUGUUGACACAUUUUGAGACGGAGGGCACUCAUCCCCUCUGAGAGCUGCUCGGCGUUGACGAUUGGUUCUCUCCCUCAAAUGCACAUGAGAGAAACCCGCAUGGAUUUUGCCAUCAACAUGGACAUAUUGAAUCUGACUCACUCCAAGUCUACCCAGUUUCCGGUCUUUCAUGGAAUAUUCGGUCCAGGCGGUGCCCCGCCUCCCGAGGACCAAGAUGUCCGUCUUCAAGGAAAAUACCAGGUAUAUGCUUCGCAACCUGCGGGUUACACUUAGGGGCCCAACCCGGUUAAUUGACCGGUGCCUAUUCGCCAUGGAAGCCAUACCUCAAGGAUCCGGUACUAUCAGCCGCUCCAACAUGGCGCUUUCUCGGGUCUUUGGCCUGGUAUGACCAAAUCAUGUGACCUUCGGAUGAAGCUCAUCUAAGAAUUAAUUGAUGACUCCGGAGGAGGGACUCCUUUACGCCAACUGCAUGGAACUACCUGCAGGUUUGUUCAACAUUCACAGUAUUGCUCGCUACCUUCCGGCAUGGACUUCUCACCGGUUGUCCACUACGGACUGCAGUCGGAUCUCACAUAGGAUCGCUAUCUAUAGCUUCUGGACAAGUAUUCGUCAUUUGUGACAGAAUGUAUGCGGGACGAGACACUUGUGUGGCGGACGGCUUCACCCGGCAUGGAGAGACCCCAAUGAUUGGUUGCCUCACCCUCCAGGGUCUCGAGUACUGGCAUGAUUACAUUCGGUGCGAACCGCCAUAUGGAGCGGUUCUCCAACUGGCUGCCGGACCCUCAGAGAGGCGAGGGACGAGCUUUCCAAGCUUGGUCUCCUUCGGGGCGUACGCAUCCCGUUUACCUACAGGAUACUUUGGGUUUUGCUUCAGACCGAAUUCCUGGAAGUGUCGUUUCGCCUGGCCAAACCACUUCGGAGGAGUCCUGCGUGCUUUCCCCUUUUUGCUGGAGUUUGCCAUGGGAAGGCAAUCUACGACUCCCUGUCUCUUAAUGUCCCACUUGGGAUCCACAGGGGUAGCCUGCCACGACUUGUGUUUGGGUCCCAAUGGCGGUCCUUAUCAUGGCUGUCCCCAUUGUCUGGCUGAGUUGCCCUCUCAGGGUAGGAUCGUAUGGGGCCAUUCACGUCCUAUGUCAGCUAGUGGACGAC